AUUGAACGCUGGCGGAAUGCUUUACACAUGCAAGUCGAGCGGCAGCGCGGGGGCAACCCUGGCGGCGAGCGGCGAACGGGUGAGUAAUACAUCGGAACGUGUCCUUGAGUGGGGGAUAGCUCGGCGAAAGCCGGAUUAAUACCGCAUAAGCUCUGCGGAGGAAAGCGGGGGACUGGUAACGGCCUCGCGCUGUUGGAGCGGCCGAUGUCGGAUUAGCUAGUUGGUGGGGUAAAGGCCCACCAAGGCGACGAUCCGUAGCUGGUCUGAGAGGAUGAUCAGCCACACUGGAACUGAGACACGGUCCAGACUCCUACGGGAGGCAGCAGUGGGGAAUUUUGGACAAUGGGGGCAACCCUGAUCCAGCCAUUCCGCGUGAGUGAAGAAGGCCUC
RNAcentral lists this ribosomal RNA (390 nucleotides) under uncultured bacterium. Its description in RNAcentral is "bacterial SSU rRNA". It matches the Rfam family "Bacterial small subunit ribosomal RNA", at positions 28 to 418 of the family's 1533-position model. The record is from RNAcentral.